RNAcentral lists this long non-coding RNA (379 nucleotides) under Ananas comosus (pineapple). RNAcentral's name for it is "long non-coding RNA (ACOM_LNC019104)". The record is from RNAcentral. Lineage: Eukaryota; Viridiplantae; Streptophyta; Magnoliopsida; Poales; Bromeliaceae.
UUUUUGAAAACAAUUUUUUUUUUUUUAAGAGAUGGUAGCAUGCAUGCUACCCGCUUUAUGUAUUUUAUUUAGAAAUAAACUUAGCUGAAAAUAUGAAUCAACUAGAAUUCGAACUUGGGACUUCGGAUACCAACCACCAAGUCUUUUGCCACUUGCGCUAGGGACGGUCGGUAAAUGAAUUCAGGUUGACGGAUUUUUCGAUAAUUUUGGACCAAAAAAUAUGAGAGAAAAAAUAAUCUGUUCUGAAUACGCUAUGAAUCCCUUCUUUCCUUAAUUUGAUAAGCCCCACUUCACCAAAAUUUUUUUUUUGUCCCGACUCGUUACUAAUGGAUCAGUAAUAAGCAACGAUCAAAAAUAUAAUACAAACUAACUCGUCUCA